AGAGUUUGAUCCUGGCUCAGGAUGAACGCUGGCGGCGUGCCUAACACAUGCAAGUCGAACGGAGUUACUUUGGUGAAGUUUUCGGAUGGAUCUGAUUUAACUUAGUGGCGGACGGGUGAGUAAUGCGUGAGCAACCUGCCCUUCAGAGGGGGACAACAGUUGGAAACGACUGCUAAUACCGCAUAAUGUAUUCGGAAGGCAUCUUCUGGAUACCAAAGGAGAAAUCCGCUGAUGGAUGGGCUCACGUCUGAUUAGCUAGUUGGUGAGGUAACGGCUCACCAAGGCUGCGAUCAGUAGCCGGACUGAGAGGUUGAACGGCCACAUUGGGACUGAGAUACGGCCCAGACUCCUACGGGAGGCAGCAGUGGGGAAUAUUGGGCAAUGGGCGAAAGCCUGACCCAGCAACGCCGCGUGAAGGAAGAAGGCCUUCGGGUUGUAAACUUCUUUUAAGAGGGACGAAGAAGUGACGGUACCUCUUGAAUAAGCCACGGCUAACUACGUGCCAGCAGCCGCGGUAAUACGUAGGUGGCGAGCGUUAUCCGGAUUUACUGGGUGUAAAGGGCGCGUAGGCGGGAAUGCAAGUCAGAUGUGAAAUCCAAGGGCUCAACCCUUGAACUGCAUUUGAAACUGUAUUUCUUGAGUGUCGGAGAGGUUGACGGAAUUCCUAGUGUAGCGGUGAAAUGCUUAGAUAUCACGAAGAACUCCGAUUGCGAAGGCAGCUCACUGGAGCGCAACUGACGCUGAAGCUCGAAAGUGCGGGUAUCGAACAGGAUUAGAUACCCUGGUAGUCCGCACGGUAAACGAUGGAUGCCCGCUGUUGGUCUGAACAGGUCAGCGGCCAAGCGAAAGCAUUAAGCAUCCCACCUGGGGAGUACGCCGGCAACGGUGAAACUCAAAGGAAUUGACGGGGGCCCGCACAAGCGGAGGAACAUGUGGUUUAAUUCGAUGAUACGCGAGGAACCUUACCCGGGCUUGAAUUGCAGAGGAAGGAUUUGGAGACAAUGACGCCCUUCGGGGUCUCUGUGAAGGUGCUGCAUGGUUGUCGUCAGCUCGUGCCGUGAGGUGUCGGCUUAAGUGCCAUAACGAGCGCAACCCCUCUCCUUAGUUGCCAUCAGGUUAAGCUGGGCACUCUGGGGACACUGCCACCGUAAGGUGUGAGGAAGGUGGGGAUGACGUCAAAUCAGCACGGCCCUUACGUCCGGGGCUACACACGUGUUACAAUGGCAGGUACAGAGAGACGGUUGUACGUAAGUACGAUCAAAUCCUUAAAGCCUGUCUCAGUUCGGACUGGGGUCUGCAACCCGACCCCACGAAGCUGGAUUCGCUAGUAAUCGCGCAUCAGCCAUGGCGCGGUGAAUACGUUCCCGGGCCUUGUACACACCGCCCGUCAAGCCAUGAAAGCCGGGGGCGCCUAAAGUCCGUGACCGUAA
RNAcentral lists this ribosomal RNA (1430 nucleotides) under metagenome. RNAcentral's name for it is "bacterial SSU rRNA". It matches the Rfam family "Bacterial small subunit ribosomal RNA". The record is from RNAcentral.